Molecule: ribosomal RNA, 230 nt
Filed under: uncultured Alicycliphilus sp.
Lineage: Bacteria; Pseudomonadati; Pseudomonadota; Betaproteobacteria; Burkholderiales; Comamonadaceae
Description: partial 16S ribosomal RNA
Rfam family: Bacterial small subunit ribosomal RNA
Source: RNAcentral
AGCAGCUCAUUGGGUGUAAAGCGUGCGCAGGCGGUUUUGUAAGACAGAGGUGAAAUCCCCGGGCUCAGCCUGGGAACUGCCUUUGUGACUGCAAGGCUGGAGUGCGGCAGAGGGGGAUGGAAUUCCGCGUGUAGCAGUGAAAUGCGUAGAUAUGCGGAGGAACACCGAUGGCGAAGGCAAUCCCCUGGGCCUGCACUGACGCUCAUGCACGAAAGCGUGGGGAGCAAACA